GACGAACGCUGGCGGCGUGCUUAACACAUGCAAGUCGAACGCUGAAGCUCAGCUUUUGUUGGGGGGAGGAGUGGCGAACGUGUGAGUAACACGUGAGUAACCUGCCCCCUUCUUUGGGAUAACGCCCGGAAACGGGUGCUAAUGCUGGAUAUUCACUGGUCUUCGCGUGGGGGGGGUUGGAAAUGGUUUUUCUGUUGGUGGGUGGGCUGGCGGCCUAGCCGCUGGUUGGUGGGUGGAUGGCCUACGAAGGCUUUGACGGGUAGCCGGACUGAGAGGGUGACCGGUGACAUUGGGACCGAGCUAAGGCCCAGACUGCUACGGGAGGCAGCAGUGGGGAAUAUUGCACAAUGGGAGCAAGCGUGAUGCAGCGAAGCCGCGUGAGGGAUGGAGGCGUUGGGGUUGUGAACCUCUUUCGCUCAUGGUCAAGCCGCAACAAUGGUUGUGGUGACGGUAGUGGGUAAAGAAGCGCCGGCUAACUACGUG
This 483-nucleotide ribosomal RNA is filed under the name uncultured bacterium. Its description in RNAcentral is "partial 16S ribosomal RNA". It matches the Rfam family "Bacterial small subunit ribosomal RNA", at positions 28 to 507 of the family's 1533-position model. The record is from RNAcentral.